Molecule: unclassified non-coding RNA, 1747 nt
Filed under: Diuraphis noxia (Russian wheat aphid)
Lineage: Eukaryota; Metazoa; Arthropoda; Insecta; Hemiptera; Aphididae
Description: endoplasmic reticulum-Golgi intermediate compartment protein 2, transcript variant X3
Source: RNAcentral
UAUUCCAAUUAUUUGCUUAUUGUUAAUUUGUAAUUUUAUCGAUUGUACUUACGAAGUAUUUACUUAAAAUGUUGCUAAUAUUAUAUUGACGUUUCCUAAGCUUUUGUAAAGAUCAACUAUUUUACUCUUGUUGUAUAUUUGCCUAUUGUUCCAUUUGUUUCAUGAAAUAAAGCACAUUCACUAUUCAGACAUCUAACUCAUAGGAAUUAAGUAAUAGUAUUUAAAUAAAAUUGUGAAUAAUUAAAAUGUUGAGAUACAGAGGGAAAAAACUAGCACUUAACAUUGUAAAAGAAUUGGAUUCAUUUCCUAAGGUCCAAGAAGAAAUUUAUGAACCAUCUACUUAUAGUAAUAUUAUACUGACAGUUUUAAUUUCUAUAUUUGGAUUAUGGUUAUUAAUUUCUGAAGUACAAUUUUUUCUACAAGAACAUUAUAUAUACAGAUUUGAACCAGAUACAGACUAUGAAUCUAAACUUCCAAUAAACAUAGAUAUUACAGUUGCAUCACCUUGUGACAGUAUAGGUGCUGAUAUUGUUGAUACAACGGGACAAAAUAUGAUGUUAUUUGGAGAAUUGAAAACUGACGAUACUUGGUGGGAAAUGACAAAAGAACAGCAACAACAUUUUGAAAAAAUGCGUGAAUUUAAUGCAUAUUUAAGAGAAGAAUAUCAUUCAAUGAAAGACAUAUUAUGGAUGUUUGAUGAUUAUAAUACAUUAAAAAAUAAAAUUUCUGUUAGAACAGAAAAACCAAACACUAUACCAGAUGCGUGUCGCAUACACGGGUCAUUAAUUCUAAAUAAGGUGAUAGGAAAUUUUCAUAUAACUCCUGGGAAAUCUCUUAUAGUUCCAGGUGGUCAUGUGCAUCUUACUGGUCCAUUUUUUGGAUCAGGGGCUACUAACUUUUCUCAUCGAAUUAAUCAAUUUUCAUUUGGUGUUCCGACAAAAGGGAUUAUGUAUCCAUUAGAAGGAGAACUGUAUGAAACAAAUGAAAAUGCUGUAUCCUUUAAAUAUUUCAUAGAUGUAAUAGCUACAGAUGUUAAAUCACAUUCAAAUGAAAUAAAAACUUACCAGUAUUCAGCAAAAGAUAUACAAAGAAAAAUUGAUCAUAAUACUGGGAGUCACGGUAUGCCUGGUAUAUAUUUUCAAUAUGAUAUUAAUGCUCUCAAAUUCAUCAUCACAGAAAAUAGAAUUACCUUGUUUCAUUUAAUUAUUGAAAUAGCAUCGACUAUUGGCGGCUUGUUUUUAUUAUUUAAUUUUAUGAAGAUUCUAUUAGAUAAGUUCACAAAAAAAGUAUAUUCCUUCUAUACAACUGAUAGAAUUAUCACAAGAGAAAAGUCCUUAGAUUAUAAAUAACAAUCUAUUAUAACAUGAUACAACUAUGUGCUGAAGGUCUAUUUUUGAACUUAAUCGAAUCAUAUUAGUGAUCUAAUACACCCAUUUUCAAUCAUCUAUUCGAUUAACUGUUUGUUAGUUUCCUUGUUAGUUGCUGGUCAAGACAUGCAGAAACAAUAAUCCAAAAUAUUUCACAAGAUAUUAACAUAUUAAUCAUAUUUUAAAAUAUUUUGUUUUAUUUCUUCUUAAUUUUAGGUAGGUAGGUAUAAUAGNAUAGAAGNAAGAANNAAAAANAAAGUAUUUAUUUAUUAUUUUAUUUUUACUGCAGUGUACAGUAACUACUAUAACUACAGGGCGAUUUUUUUAUCAUGAACCACUCAUUAUUUCAAAAAGUAUCAAUGUUUUUGAAAAUAUUUUUU